GCCAGGCAUGGUGGUGCAUGCCUGUAGUCCCAGCUACUUGGGAGGCUGAGGCAGAAGAAUCACUUGAACCUGGGAGGCAGAGGUUGCAGUGAGCCGAGAUAGUGCCACUGCACUCCAGCCUCGGUGACAGAGUGAGACUCUGUCUCAA
This 148-nucleotide non-coding RNA is filed under the name Pan troglodytes (chimpanzee). The record is from Rfam by way of RNAcentral. Lineage: Eukaryota; Metazoa; Chordata; Mammalia; Primates; Hominidae.